RNAcentral lists this ribosomal RNA (404 nucleotides) under uncultured fungus. Its description in RNAcentral is "partial small subunit ribosomal RNA". It matches the Rfam family "Eukaryotic small subunit ribosomal RNA", at positions 30 to 432 of the family's 1831-position model. Lineage: Eukaryota; Fungi. The record is from RNAcentral.
GCUUGUCUCAAAGAUUAAGCCAUGCAUGUCUCAGCAUAAGCUUCAACACGGUGAAACUGCAAAUGGCUCAUUAAAGCAGUUACAAUUUAUUUGAUGGUCACUGUUACAUGGAUAACUGUGGUAAUUCUAGAGCUAAUACAUGCAUCAAAACCUGACUCUUGGGAAGGGUUGUGUUUAUUAGAUACAAAACCAAUUCAGGUUCUUCCUGAUUCCUCUGGUGAUUCAUAAUAACUGUUCGGAUCGUAUGGCUUUUUGCCGACGACAGAUCAUUCAAAUUUCUGCCCUAUCAGCUUUCGACGGUACUGUAGUGGACUACCGUGGCAUUAACGGGUGACGGAGAAUUAGGGUUCGAUUCCGGAGAGGGAGCCUGAGAAAUGGCUACCACAUCCAAGGAAGGCAGCAGG